This 531-nucleotide small RNA is filed under the name Pan troglodytes (chimpanzee). Its description in RNAcentral is "processed transcript". The record is from RNAcentral. Lineage: Eukaryota; Metazoa; Chordata; Mammalia; Primates; Hominidae.
UAUAGUAUCUUCAUGCUGAAAUGCCAAGCUUCCAUGAAGUGCUGAGAAUAGCCUAGAAAACUCGUAGUGGGCAGGAGGAAGAUCAUUUCUAAAUACUGUGGUUAUUUCUGAAGUCCUCUGAAGGCGAGAUCUAGAGAAGGUGUUUGGCCUUUGGGAAGCUUCAGAAACCCAGAUAAUUGCAGUGAAGAAGCCUGAAGAUGCAAGAAAUCCUUCUCUACACCCAAGUUCCACAUCAGCCCCACCGGAAUGAUCAUGGAAGGAGCUCAGCUCCACAUUAAGUGCACCAUUCAAGUGACUCACCUGGCCCAGGAGUUUCCAGAAAUCAUAAUUCAGAAGGACAAGGCGAUUGUGGCCCACAACAGACAUGGCAACAAGGCCGUGUACUCAGUCAUGGCCAUGGUGGAGCACAGUGGCAACUACACGUGCAAAGUGGAGUCCAGCCGCAUAUCCAAGGUCAGCAGCAUCGUCGUCAACAUAACAGAACUAUUUUCCAAGCCCGAACUGGAAUCUUCCUUCACACAUCUGGACCAA